GAUGAACGCUGGCGGCGUGCCUAAUACAUGCAAGUCGAGCGAACAGACGAGGAGCUUGCUCCUCUGACGUUAGCCGCGGACGUGUGAGUAACACGUGGAUAACCUACCUAUAAGACUGGGAUAACUUCGGGAAACCGGAUCUAAUACCGGAUAAUAUAUUGAUCCGCAUGGUUCAAUAGUAAAAUACGGUUUUGCUUUCACUUAUAGAUGGAUCCGCGCCGCAUUAGCUAGUUGGUAAGGUAACGGCUAACCAAGGCAACGCAGCGUAGCCGACCUGAGAGGGUGUCAGGCCAAACUGGAACUGGAACACGGUCCAGACUCCUACGGGAGGAAGCAGUAGGGAAUCUUCCGCAAUGGGCGAAAGCCUGCCGGAGCAACGCCGCGUGGGUGAUGAAGGUCUUCGGAUCGUAAAACUCUGUUAAUAGGGAAGAACAAAUGUGUAAGUAAAUAUGCACGUCUUGACGGUACCUAAUCAGAAAGCCACGGCUAACUACGUG
RNAcentral lists this ribosomal RNA (497 nucleotides) under uncultured bacterium. RNAcentral describes it as "partial 16S ribosomal RNA". It matches the Rfam family "Bacterial small subunit ribosomal RNA", at positions 28 to 507 of the family's 1533-position model. The record is from RNAcentral.